RNAcentral lists this ribosomal RNA (405 nucleotides) under uncultured bacterium. Its description in RNAcentral is "bacterial SSU rRNA". It matches the Rfam family "Bacterial small subunit ribosomal RNA", at positions 355 to 776 of the family's 1533-position model. The record is from RNAcentral.
UGGGGGAUAUUGCACAAUGGGGGGAACCCUGAUGCAGCGACGCCGCGUGGGUGAAGGAGUGCUUCGGCAUGUAAAGCCCUAUCGGCAGGGAAGAAGCAAGACGGUACCUGACUAAGAAGCCCCGGCUAACUACGUGCCAGCAGCCGCGGUAAUACGUAGGGGGCGAGCGUUAUCCGGAUUCACUGGGUGUAAAGGGAGCGUAGACGGCCAAGCAAGCCAGGGGUGAAAGCCCGGGGCCCAACCCCGGGACUGCCCUUGGAACUGCAUGGCUGGAGUGCGGGAGGGGCAGGCGGAAUUCCUGGUGUAGCGGUGAAAUGCGUAGAUAUCAGGAGGAACACCGGCGGCGAAGGCGGCCUGCUGGACCGCGACUGACGUUGAGGCUCGAAAGCGUGGGGAGCGAACAGG